Molecule: long non-coding RNA, 349 nt
Organism: Phyllostomus discolor (pale spear-nosed bat)
Lineage: Eukaryota; Metazoa; Chordata; Mammalia; Chiroptera; Phyllostomidae
Exons: 3
Source: RefSeq, a predicted model, not a curated record
AGAGAUUUGAUUAGUUAAAGAAUCAGAUAAUAGAACUGAAAGGGGCCCAAGAAGUCCCCUAGUACAGCCUCCUUCUCAAUGAAGAGUUCAUUUUAUAUCAUCCUUGACCGUGGCUAUUUUUGCUGAAACUCCUUUAUUAAGAGGAAGUUACUGUUGCUGGGCAACUCUGAAGACAGUCUAGUCUGGUUCUGCUGAGGACCAUGGAUUUGGGUUCAGAUCUUAGGUCUGUCACAUACUAUUUUCUUAACCUUUCUGAGCCUCAGUGUUUUGGUGUGUAAAUAAAUGUAGAUAUACCCUCACUGACUUGUUAUAACAGUUAUAUGACAUAACACAGUGAAACUCAGUGCAC